GGAGCGGUAGUUCAGCUGGUUAGAAUACCCGCCUGUCACGCGGGUGGUCGCGGGUUCGAGUCCCGUCCGCUCCGCCA
This 77-nucleotide transfer RNA is filed under the name Gammaproteobacteria bacterium RIFCSPHIGHO2_12_FULL_39_24. RNAcentral describes it as "tRNA-Asp". It matches the Rfam family "tRNA". From Rfam's summary of the family: Transfer RNA (tRNA) molecules are approximately 80 nucleotides in length. Their secondary structure includes four short double-helical elements and three loops (D, anti-codon, and T loops). Further hydrogen bonds mediate the characteristic L-shaped molecular structure. tRNAs have two regions of fundamental functional importance: the anti-codon, which is responsible for specific mRNA codon recognition, and the 3' end, to which the tRNAs corresponding amino acid is attached (by aminoacyl-tRNA synthetases). tRNAs cope with the degeneracy of the genetic code in two manners: having more than one tRNA (with a specific anti-codon) for a particular amino acid; and 'wobble' base-pairing, i.e. permitting non-standard base-pairing at the 3rd anti-codon position. RNAcentral also lists the same sequence under 2 other names. The record is from RNAcentral. Lineage: Bacteria; Pseudomonadati; Pseudomonadota; Gammaproteobacteria.